GGGGCAGUAGUUCAGUGGAAGAACGUAAGUGUAUGUUGGACAAAGGGAGCCUACCCAGGACCGGAGGGUGACUUUUUAUUUUGGCAUGCGGAGCUUAAGACAGAGGUUCGAUUCCUUUCUGCCCCU
This 126-nucleotide transfer RNA is filed under the name Candidatus Aenigmatarchaeota archaeon. RNAcentral describes it as "tRNA-OTHER". It matches the Rfam family "tRNA". Rfam says of the family: Transfer RNA (tRNA) molecules are approximately 80 nucleotides in length. Their secondary structure includes four short double-helical elements and three loops (D, anti-codon, and T loops). Further hydrogen bonds mediate the characteristic L-shaped molecular structure. tRNAs have two regions of fundamental functional importance: the anti-codon, which is responsible for specific mRNA codon recognition, and the 3' end, to which the tRNAs corresponding amino acid is attached (by aminoacyl-tRNA synthetases). tRNAs cope with the degeneracy of the genetic code in two manners: having more than one tRNA (with a specific anti-codon) for a particular amino acid; and 'wobble' base-pairing, i.e. permitting non-standard base-pairing at the 3rd anti-codon position. The record is from RNAcentral. Lineage: Archaea; Nanobdellati; Candidatus Aenigmatarchaeota.